GACGAACGCUGGCGGCGUGCUUAACACAUGCAAGUCGAACGGAAAGGCCCUGCUUUUGUGGGGUGCUCGAGUGGCGAACGGGUGAGUAACACGUGAGUAACCUGCCCUUGACUUUGGGAUAACUUCAGGAAACUGGGCUAAUACCGGAUAAGAGCUCCUGCUGCAUGGUGGGGGGUGGGAAGGUUCGGCGGUUGGGGAUGGACUCGCGGCUUAUCAGCUUGUUGGUGGGGUAGUGGCUUACCAAGGCUUUGACGGGUAGCCGGCCUGAGAGGGUGACCGGCCACAUUGGGACUGAGAUACGGCCCAGACUCCUACGGGAGGCAGCAGUGGGGAAUAUUGCACAAUGGGCGGAAGCCUGAUGCAGCAACGCCGCGUGCGGGAUGACGGCCUUCGGGUUGUAAACCGCUUUCGCCUGUGACGAAGCGUGAGUGACGGUAAUGGGUAAAGAAGCACCGGCUAACUACGUG
RNAcentral lists this ribosomal RNA (467 nucleotides) under uncultured bacterium. Its description in RNAcentral is "partial 16S ribosomal RNA". It matches the Rfam family "Bacterial small subunit ribosomal RNA", at positions 28 to 507 of the family's 1533-position model. The record is from RNAcentral.